UGGAAGUAAAAGUCGUAACAAGGUCUCCGUUGGUGAACCAGCGGAGGGAUCAUUACCGAGUUUACAACUCCCAAACCCAAUGUGAACGUUACCAAACUGUUGCCUCGGCGGGAUCUCUGCCCCGGGUGCGUCGCAGCCCCGGACCAAGGCGCCCGCCGGAGGACCAACCUAAAACUCUUAUUGUAUACCCCCUCGCGGGUUUUUUUAUAAUCUGAGCCUUCUCGGCGCCUCUCGUAGGCGUUUCGAAAAUGAAUCAAAACUUUCAACAACGGAUCUCUUGGUUCUGGCAUCGAUGAAGAACGCAGCGAAAUGCGAUAAGUAAUGUGAAUUGCAGAAUUCAGUGAAUCAUCGAAUCUUUGAACGCACAUUGCGCCCGCCAGUAUUCUGGCGGGCAUGCCUGUCCGAGCGUCAUUUCAACCCUCGAACCCCUCCGGGGGGUCGGCGUUGGGGAUCGGCCCUCCCUUAGCGGGUGGCCGUCUCCGAAAUACAGUGGCGGUCUCGCCGCAGCCUCUCCUGCGCAGUAGUUUGCACACUCGCAUCGGGAGCGCGGCGCGUCCACAGCCGUUAAACACCCAACUUCUGAAAUGUUGACCUCGGAUCAGGUAGGAAUACCCGCUGAACUUAAGCAUAUCAAUAAGCGGAG
Molecule: ribosomal RNA, 643 nt
Filed under: fungal sp. ARIZ B474
Lineage: Eukaryota; Fungi
Description: eukaryotic LSU rRNA
Rfam family: 5.8S ribosomal RNA (bases 258-411)
Source: RNAcentral